Gossypium arboreum is the source of this 107-nucleotide non-coding RNA. Lineage: Eukaryota; Viridiplantae; Streptophyta; Magnoliopsida; Malvales; Malvaceae. The record is from Rfam.
AACCCAUGAUGAGGGCACCUUCUCAAUAAGUCCUUGUAUCUCUCCCAUUCAUCAUAUAAAGUCUCUAAAUCGAUCUGCACAAGGGAAGAGAUAUCAUUCCUGAACUU